This is a non-coding RNA of Pelobates cultripes (western spadefoot toad), 211 nucleotides long. Lineage: Eukaryota; Metazoa; Chordata; Amphibia; Anura; Pelobatidae. The record is from the annotation of a GenBank genome assembly.
CAGAGGACUGAUAGGUAGCAUAUACCGGACCUUAGAAUGGCCGGACCAACGUACCAAAGAAUAGUCAGGAAUAGCCGAGGUCAAGGGAAACAGAAAGAGACACAACGAUAAGGAAAAGCCAGGAGUCAGGGAUGCCAGAAAACAGGGAAGUCAAAAACAAUGCCAAAGUCAAAUAACCAGAAUCAAUAACACACUUUCGGACAACCACAAG